UAAUACCCAAUCCUGACACAGGGAGGUAGUGACAAGAAAUAACAAUACGGGGCUCAACGCCUUGUAAUUGGAAUGAUGGGAACCUAAACCCCUUCCAGAGUAUCAAUUGGAGGGCAAGUCUGGUGCCAGCAGCCGCGGUAAUUCCAGCUCCAAUAGCGUAUAUUAAAAUUGUUGCAGUUAAAAAGCUCGUAGUUGAAUUUCUGCCGCAUCGCGGCGGCCCUCCCGGGCCCAGCGUUGCGGCUUAUUUCGGACUCGCUUGCGUCUCCGAAUGUUUACUUUGAGAAAAUUAAAGUGCUCAAAGCAGGCCCUUGCCUUGAAUACUUUAGCAUGGAAUAAUAAAGUAGGACUUUGGUUCUAUUUUGUUGGUUUAGCGCCAAAGUAAUGGUUAAUAGGAACAGUUGGGGGCAUUCGUAUUUAAA
RNAcentral lists this ribosomal RNA (419 nucleotides) under Theileria mutans. RNAcentral's name for it is "SSU rRNA". It matches the Rfam family "Eukaryotic small subunit ribosomal RNA", at positions 438 to 902 of the family's 1831-position model. The record is from RNAcentral. Lineage: Eukaryota; Apicomplexa; Aconoidasida; Piroplasmida; Theileriidae.